AAUCUUGCGCAAUGGGCGAAAGCCUGACGCAGCCAUGCCGCGGGAAUGAUGAAGGUCUUAGGAUUGUAAAAUUCUUUCACCGGGGACGAUAAUGACGGUACCCGGUGAAGAAGCUCCGGCUAACUUGGUGCCAGCAGCCGCGGGAAUACAAAGGGGGCUAGCGUUGCUCGGAAUUACUGGGCGUAAAGGGCGCGUAGGCGGACAUUUAAGUCGGGGGUGAAGUCCCAGAGCUCAACUCUGGAACUGCCUUUGAUACUGGGUGUCUUGAGUGUGAGAGGGGUAUGUGGAACUCCGAGUGUAGAGGUGAAAUUAGUAGAUAUUCGGAAGAACACCAGUGGCGAAGGCGACAUACUGGCUCAUUACUGACGCUGAGGCGCGAAAGCGUGGGGAGCAAACAG
This 398-nucleotide ribosomal RNA is filed under the name uncultured bacterium. Its description in RNAcentral is "partial 16S ribosomal RNA". It matches the Rfam family "Bacterial small subunit ribosomal RNA", at positions 360 to 775 of the family's 1533-position model. The record is from RNAcentral.